GGGCUAUCUUGUUUGUGCACAAGUACACAGCAGGAAGCACAUCCUCCGGAGACAAAGCUAGCAAGCUCCGAAACAUAUUGCACAACAUUGACGUUGCUUUUAUCUUCCCUUUUUCUUCCUUUACCAAUUCAAAAGUUCGUGCAAGAUGUAUGUAUGGAGUAGCCUGCCCCUUACUCCAGCAAGCAUGUUCCACGGGAGAGUAUUCCUCAUGGGGAAGUGAUACAUAAUUUACAGCAUUAUCAGCAAAGGGAACACCACACAACGACAAAUUGGGAUCAACAUCUCCUAAUAUUUUGGGUAAUUUAUCAUCUUUGGAAGAAGUGCAAACCUCUUUAGCACACUGAGGUUGCAACAAUUUGUUUGUUUUAGAAAUCCCAUCUCCAUUAGUCUCUCCUACAUCUUUGUAUUCUGAAAAAU
RNAcentral lists this unclassified non-coding RNA (417 nucleotides) under Hevea brasiliensis (rubber tree). Lineage: Eukaryota; Viridiplantae; Streptophyta; Magnoliopsida; Malpighiales; Euphorbiaceae. The record is from RNAcentral.